AGAGGUGGUCGAGUGGCUUAAGGCACUCCCCUGCUAAGGGAGUAUUCGUUUUGCGAAUCGCGGGUUCGAAUCCCGCCCUCUC
Molecule: transfer RNA, 82 nt
Filed under: Ctenophora environmental sample
Lineage: Eukaryota; Metazoa; Ctenophora
Rfam family: tRNA
About the family: Transfer RNA (tRNA) molecules are approximately 80 nucleotides in length.
Source: RNAcentral